Molecule: ribosomal RNA, 816 nt
Filed under: uncultured bacterium
Lineage: Bacteria
Description: bacterial SSU rRNA
Rfam family: Bacterial small subunit ribosomal RNA
Source: RNAcentral
UNUGACUUGAGUGCAGAAGGGGAGAGUGGAAUUCCAUGUGUAGCGGUGAAAUGCGUAGAUAUAUGGAGGAACACCAGUGGCGAAAGCGGCUCUCUGGUCUGUCACUGACGCUGAGGCUCGAAAGCGUGGGUAGCGAACAGGAUUAGAUACCCUGGUAGUCCACGCCGUAAACGAUGAGUGCUAGGUGUUAGGCCCUUNCCGGGGCUUAGUGCCGGAGCUAACGCAAUAAGCACUCCGCCUGGGGGGUACGACCGCAAGGUUGAAACUCAAAGGAAUUGACGGGGGCCCGCACAAGCGGUGGAGCAUGUGGUUUAAUUCGAAGCAACGCGAAGAACCUUACCAGGUCUUGACAUCCCGAUGCUAUUCUUAGAGAUAGGAAGUUACUUCGGUACAUCGGAGACAGGUGGUGCAUGGUUGUCGUCAGCUCGUGUCGUGAGAUGUUGGGUCAAGUCCCGCAACGAGCGCAACCCUUAUUGUUAGUUGCCAUCAUUAAGUUGGGCACUCUAGCGAGACUGCCGGUAAUAAACCGGAGGAAGGUGGGGAUGACGUCAAAUCAUCAUGCCCCUUAUGACCUGGGCUACACACGUGCUACAAUGGUCGGUACAACGAGUUGCGAGCCGGUGACGGCAAGCUAAUCUCUGAAAGCCGAUCUCAGUUCGGAUUGGAGGCUGCAACUCGCCUCCAUGAAGUCGGAAUCGCUAGUAAUCGCGGAUCAGCACGCCGCGGUGAAUACGUUCCCGGGCCUUGUACACACCGCCCGUCACACCACGAGAGUUUGUAACACCCGAAGUCGGUGAGGUANCCUUUUAGGGGCCA